Molecule: ribosomal RNA, 813 nt
Filed under: Limosilactobacillus gastricus
Lineage: Bacteria; Bacillati; Bacillota; Bacilli; Lactobacillales; Lactobacillaceae
Description: bacterial SSU rRNA
Rfam family: Bacterial small subunit ribosomal RNA
Source: RNAcentral
UGCAAGUCGAACGCGUUGGCCCAACUGAUUGACGAUGCUUGCAUCCGAUUGACGUUGGAUUUCCAACGAGUGGCGGACGGGUGAGUAACACGUAGGUAACCUGCCCAGAAGCGGGGGAUAACAUCUGGAAACAGGUGCUAAUACCGCAUAACAAUUCAAAUCGCAUGGUUUGAAUUUAAAAGAUGGCUCUGCUAUCACUUCUGGAUGGACCUGCGGCGCAUUAGCUUGUUGGUAGGGUAAUGGCCUACCAAGGCAGUGAUGCGUAGCCGAGUUGAGAGACUGAUCGGCCACAAUGGGACUGAGACACGGCCCAUACUCCUACGGGAGGCAGCAGUAGGGAAUCUUCCACAAUGGGCGCAAGCCUGAUGGAGCAACACCGCGUGAGUGAAGAAGGGUUUCGGCUCGUAAAGCUCUGUUGUUGAAGAAGAACGUGCAUGAGAGUAACUGUUCAUGCAGUGACGGUAUUCAACCAGAAAGUCACGGCUAACUACGUGCCAGCAGCCGCGGUAAUACGUAGGUGGCAAGCGUUAUCCGGAUUUAUUGGGCGUAAAGAGAGUGCAGGCGGUUUCUUAAGUCUGAUGUGAAAGCCUUCGGCUCAACCGAAGAAGUGCAUCGGAAACUGGGAGACUUGAGUACAGAAGAGGGCAGUGGAACUCCAUGUGUAGCGGUGGAAUGCGUAGAUAUAUGGAAGAACACCAGUGGCGAAGGCGGCUGCCUGGUCUGUAACUGACGCUGAGACUCGAAAGCAUGGGUAGCGAACAGGAUUAGAUACCCUGGUAGUCCAUGCCGUAAACGAUGAGUGCUAGGUGUUGG